RNAcentral lists this long non-coding RNA (742 nucleotides) under Coffea arabica (coffee). RNAcentral's name for it is "long non-coding RNA (CARA_LNC001017)". The record is from RNAcentral. Lineage: Eukaryota; Viridiplantae; Streptophyta; Magnoliopsida; Gentianales; Rubiaceae.
GGGGGCUGUUCUCGGACUGAGUAUUUCACUUGACUUCAAAUUCUGAUGUUACAUAAUUCAUGUUUUUUGACAUUCGUUCUCUUACGUUUGUGCAUAGAUUUAGAUUUUUUUUAAUGGUGAAAAAAAUGUUGGAAGUCCUGAACUUAAAUAACAGUAACUUUUGCUCAUUCUAAUUAAUUAGCUUUUUAUAAAAUUCACAGCUGACAACUGCCUUUCUUGUAACAGUAAAACUCACAAUUGCAUGUAUAAUCAUUUUCAAUCACCCGAUUACCUUCAUCAAUCCAUUAUUAGGUCUUCGAAACAUGCCAAUCCCAAAAGGACACCUCUUAAAGUGUAAACCAAUGUCCUUGGCUAAUGCAUCACAUAUAAAGUGAAUUUUAAUUUUAUGCACCGAGUACACCCAAUAAUGUCAUGGGCUGAAGCCUCAUAUAAUUUAUCUCACCAGAAUAUAGUAGGGAGUUUGUUAGGCGGAGAAUUUCGACAUAGAAAACUUUGUUUUUUUUUUUUUUGAGGGAUCCACAUAGAAAACUUACUAACCUUUUUCCUUGUCGUGUAUCCAUUUUACACGGUUUAUAGGGCUAUAUACCCCAUAUUCCGAACUCUAUGGCAGACAUGACAGUAGCUCAAAUUCAACGAGCAAUGGGAGAUGCCAGGAACGAUAACCAUGAAGCCAUCAAAAUGGCAAUUGUACAAGUCUUGACAUGUAGAAAAAAAAAAUCAUUAUCCACUUAGAAUUUUCCCU